Molecule: ribosomal RNA, 402 nt
Filed under: uncultured bacterium
Lineage: Bacteria
Description: bacterial SSU rRNA
Rfam family: Bacterial small subunit ribosomal RNA
Source: RNAcentral
UUUUGGACAAUGGGGGCAACCCUGAUCCAGCAAUGCCGCGUGAGUGAAGAAGGCCUUCGGGUUGUAAAGCUCUUUUGUCAGGGAAGAAACACCGGCUCUAACACAGUCCGGGAAUGACGGUACCUGAAGAAUAAGCACCGGCUAACUACGUGCCAGCAGCCGCGGUAAUACGUAGGGUGCAAGCGUUAAUCGGAAUUACUGGGCGUAAAGCGUGCGCAGGCGGUUAUACAAGACAGGCGUGAAAUCCCCGGGCUUAACCUGGGAAUGGUGCCUGUGACUGUAUAGCUAGAGUGUGUCAGAGGGGGGUAGAAUUCCACGUGUAGCAGUGAAGUGCGUAGAUAUGUGGAGGAAUACCAAUGGCGAAGGCAGCCCCCUGGGAUAACACUGACGCUCAUGCACGAA